This 2100-nucleotide small RNA is filed under the name Rattus norvegicus (Norway rat). RNAcentral's name for it is "uncharacterized LOC102556133". Lineage: Eukaryota; Metazoa; Chordata; Mammalia; Rodentia; Muridae. The record is from RNAcentral.
AAAAACCAACCUGGCUAUUCCUAGGAAUGAUAAAAUAUCUUCCUUUGUAGAAGGAACAGUUAGAGAAUGGAUCAGAAUCUUUCUAUCUAGGGUAAUAGCUUUUUAGGUUGGGGUAAUUGUUCGUCCCAAAUAGAUGACCAAAGGACUGGACUUUAGAAGGUGAGACCCUGUAACCUUUACUGAAAAUGAAAUUCAGAAGAGCAGAGGUGUCAGUUUGGCAAAUUUUUUGAGAGGGGUUACACAGAAGAAUGCAAUCUAUAUAGUGGACAGUCCUAGAUUUAGGGAGAGAAAGAGAGAAGGUAAUUCAGAAACCAGGGCCUGGCCAAAUUGGUGUGGGCUGUGCUGGAAUCUCUGAGGUAGAACAGUCCAGGUAAGUUGUGUAGAAAAGUGGGUGUCAGGAUCUGUUCAGGAAAAGGCAAAUAUGUUCUGUGACUGGGUAUCUAGAGGGAUAGAGAAAGUAGCAUCCGGAGAUCUAAGAUUGAGAAAUGAGAAUUCCCCAAGGGGAUAGUGGGAAGAAGUGUAUAAGGAUUAGCCACAACAGGAUGUACAGGAACUAUGGCAGAAUUAAUGGACCUGAGGUUUUGAACCAGGAGAUAGGUUCCACUAAGUUUCCUAACUGCUAAUGUAGGGGUUUUAAAGGGGGAAGAGGUAGGGCAAAGGAGGUUUUUCCUUAAGAGAUCAGAGGUGAUAUACUUAAGGCCCCUGAGGCUCUGGAGUGAAAGCAGGUAUUGAGGUUGGGUGAUGUACCUGGUAGAAUUCAGUAAUUGCUUGACAACAGGAGAAUGUUUAGCAGCAGAGGGGUUCUGGACAUCCCUGACAAGGAGGUCUACUUGAGAAGCUGGCCAGAAGUCAACUUGCAUUAGAAAAUGUGCUAUUACCAAGAAGCAUGUCACCAAGACAACCGAAUAGAACUGUCCAGAGUAUGUCCUUCUGCAGAAAUAUCAAUUGAGACAACUAUCCAGGCAUGAAAUACCUUCAUAAGAACUAAACAAAACAGAGAGUUGUGGCAAAAAAAGACACACUCAACCAAGAGUUGCGAUGAAAGCAAUGUGUCACAUGAAUUGCCAAUACUUACACUAGUUAAAAGAAGAAAGAAACAAAAGAAAAUAGAGCAUCAUUAUAUAAAAGAGUCAACUUAUCAAGCAGAACCAUCCCUUUAUUCUUCUUCUUUCCCCUACAAUGAAGUGAUUCUUUACAACAUCCUGUGCUCCUUUUAAAGCCCAUUGGUUCCUUGUGGUGCUGUCAGAAUGUACAUGAGGAACGUCUACUGAAGAAAGGAAAGCCUCUCAGAAGCCAAAUACCUGAAGAAAACUCACUCUGCCUCUCAUAAGAAUCCAUCAGUGGCCAAUAUCACCUCAGUGUUUCCACAGGACGUAUCCCAGAUGAUUGAGUCGGGGGAAAGUCUACAAAAGUUUGGAUGUUGAUUAUUUCCUAAUAUCCCAGAAAUGAGAGGAAAGCCUAAACAUGAUCUAGGAUUAAGGAUACCAGCUUUUGCAGAAGAACUAAAACAACUACCCAUGUCUAAACAAGCAACUACUAGACUCUUGGGCUUCCCAUUCACAACUGCCCAUUGUUGGGUUAGCUGGACUACUGACUAGUCACCAGCCAACAAACAGGCAUUAAAUUCACCAUCCUAAGGAAAUUAUUCAUACUCAAAACAUAACAGCCAAAAGUCAUGCACUUGAAGACUUCUGUCUCUACUCCUCUAUUCUACGGAUAAAGUGAAACCAUAACUUUCAGGAAAAGAAAACAUGAGAAUGUAGAUUACAAAAGUCGGAACUGACAAAAUACAUAAAGACCAUGGGAUGGAAUUUACAUUUUGAGGAUGGCAGAGUAAUGAAUCAGAAAGAGCCUUUGACACCAACGACUCACAGGAAGUCCCAACAUGUCUCCUUAAUAUCUUCAUAGUGGUCAUAUCAUUUGAAUAUGAAGAAGAAAAAGAGCAGGUGGAGGUAUUCAACCAUGCCGUCAAUCAACUAUGCAAUGCAACUAUGCAAUGACCAAUUAAAAGAAUAAGAAAUCUAAAUGAAUAGAUCUUUUAUUAUUAAUUUCAUUUAAUACUGGUUAAGCAAGAGAGACAGUUGAAUUAGGGUUUUUAAA